This 115-nucleotide small nuclear RNA is filed under the name Propithecus coquereli (Coquerel's sifaka). The record is from RNAcentral. Lineage: Eukaryota; Metazoa; Chordata; Mammalia; Primates; Indriidae.
GGGCUCACUUCUGCAGCACAGAUACCAAAAUUGGAGCCAUACAGAGAAGAUUAGCACGGCCCUUGCACAAGGAUGACAUGCAAACAUGCAAAUUUGGGAAGCGUCCCAUAUUUUA